CCCGCGCGCCGCCAUGGACGCCGCGCCCGCCCUCCUCGGGGCCCCGCAGGCCGAGGUGCUGGAGGACGUGCUGCGGGAGCAGUUCGGGCCGCUGCCCCAGCUGGCCGCCAUCUGCCGGCUCAAGCGGCUGCCCUCGGGCGGCUACUCGUCGACCGAGGACCUCCAGCUGGUGCUGGAGCGGCGGCGCGUGGCCAACGCCAAGGAGCGGGAGCGGAUAAAAAAUCUCAACCGUGGUUUUGCCAAACUGAAGGCACUGGUGCCGUUUCUUCCCCAAAGCAGGAAGCCUAGCAAGGUUGAUAUCCUUAAAGGUGCAGUUGAAUACAUCCAAGUUCUCAGUGAUGUUUUGGAAGGAGCCAAAGACUCGGAGAAACAACACCCAGAUCAUCAGAACUAUAGCAGCAAUACUUCUGAACCACAGAUAUCCUUGGCUGGAGAGCUAUCGAGAAACAUCACCCAACACGCCAGCUGUGUUGUGGGCUUGAAGAACGAGGAGGAAGGGCCCUGGGCAGAUGGUGGCAGUGGUGAGUCGGCAUGCGCUUGUCGCUAGAGUGUGAUGUCUACGACUGGAGUUACCUCCCCAACCAGGAGUUGGGAUAAAUUCCCAGAAGUAGAACUCAUGAAACACAAGCUUCCUCAAGUAUGAAAAGUGAAAAGGCGGGUCCAGGGCUACCUUCUUGAGACAAAUAAAUGCAGUCUUGAAAGUU
This is a non-coding RNA of Ceratotherium simum simum (southern white rhinoceros), 704 nucleotides long. The record is from RefSeq and is a predicted model, not a curated record. Lineage: Eukaryota; Metazoa; Chordata; Mammalia; Perissodactyla; Rhinocerotidae.